RNAcentral lists this ribosomal RNA (272 nucleotides) under uncultured Staphylococcus sp. RNAcentral's name for it is "partial 16S ribosomal RNA". It matches the Rfam family "Bacterial small subunit ribosomal RNA", at positions 88 to 354 of the family's 1533-position model. The record is from RNAcentral. Lineage: Bacteria; Bacillati; Bacillota; Bacilli; Caryophanales; Staphylococcaceae.
GACGUUAGCGGCGGACGGGUUAGUAACACGUGGGUAACCUACCUAUAAGACUGGGGUAACUUCGGGAAACCGGAGCUAAUACCGGAUAAUAUUUCGAACCGCAUGGUUCGAUAGUGAAAGGUGGUUUUGCUAUCACUUAUAGAUGGACCCGCGCCGUAUUAGCUAGUUGGUAAGGUAACGGCUUACCAAGGCACAUACGUAGCCGACCUGAGAGGGUGAUCGGCCACGCUGGAACUGANACACGGUCCAGACUCCUACGGGAGGCAGCAGGC